RNAcentral lists this ribosomal RNA (465 nucleotides) under Vreelandella stevensii. RNAcentral's name for it is "partial 16S ribosomal RNA". It matches the Rfam family "Bacterial small subunit ribosomal RNA", at positions 338 to 795 of the family's 1533-position model. Lineage: Bacteria; Pseudomonadati; Pseudomonadota; Gammaproteobacteria; Oceanospirillales; Halomonadaceae. The record is from RNAcentral.
CCUACGGGGGGCAGCAGUGGGGAAUAUUGGACAAUGGGGGGAACCCUGAUCCAGCCAUGCCGCGUGUGUGAAGAAGGCCCUCGGGUUGUAAAGCACUUUCAGUGAGGAAGAACGCCUGGUGGUUAAUACCCAUCAGGAAAGACAUCACUCACAGAAGAAGCACCGGCUAACUCCGUGCCAGCAGCCGCGGUAAUACGGAGGGUGCGAGCGUUAAUCGGAAUUACUGGGCGUAAAGCGCGCGUAGGUGGCUUGAUAAGCCGGUUGUGAAAGCCCCGGGCUCAACCUGGGAACGGCAUCCGGAACUGUCAAGCUAGAGUGCAGGAGAGGAAGGUAGAAUUCCCGGUGUAGCGGUGAAAUGCGUAGAGAUCGGGAGGAAUACCAGUGGCGAAGGCGGCCUUCUGGACUGACACUGACACUGAGGUGCGAAAGCGUGGGUAGCAAACCGGAUUAGAUACCCUAGUAGUC